AGUUGCGCGCCGAGAGCUCUGCUGGGGGCUGAUGGUUGUGCGUUCUUCCGGGCCGGCCUUGACUGUCUUCGAAAAAACCUCGUCGGGGCAAUAGUUAAGUGGAAAGAUUAAAAUCGUUUUUAGACCGGGCGCGUUGACUCAGGCCUGUAGUCCAGCACUGGGAGGCCAAGGCGGGAGGAUCGCUUGAGCCUGGGAGGUCGAGGUUGCAGUGAGCGGAGAUCAUGCCCCUGCUCUCUAGCCUGUGCGAGAGAGCAAGACCCUGUCUCAAAACAAACCCACAGUUUGUUUUUGUUUUGAGACGGAAUGGCGCGACGUCGGCUCACUGCAACCUGCUUCCCCCGGGUUCAAGCGAUUCUCCUGCCUAAGCCUCCUGAGUAGCUGGGAUUACAGGCGCGCGCCACCACGCCCUGCUGAUUUUUGUAUUUUUAGUAGAGACAGGUUUCACCAUGUUGGCCAGGUUGGUCUCAAACUCCUGACCUCAGGUGAUUCGCCCGCCUCGGCCUCCCGAAGUGCUGGGAUUACAGGCGUGAGCCACCGCACCCAGCCCAAACCCACAGUUUUAAUCAUGCUUUUGCUUGGCAAGCCGAUUUCUCUAAGCCAGAGUGAGCCGCAAGGAGAGCCCACGGAAAACUUCUGUGACCAAGCGUAUGGGGGGCUUUCCCCAUACACCAAGAAAGCAGUUCGACACUAUCCACCUGGAAGUCACGUCAGAUCCUACAGAACUUGUCAACAACUCAGUCCCACAAAAGUGCCCCUGACUUGAGACAUCAAUUGCAAGUCCGAGCUUCUGGAACUUCCCACCAACCAGCUAUUAAUUGGCAUUCCCAUGAAGCUCCUUUUGGGUUCAGGGCAGCAGGCAAGAAGAACCCAUCAGGCUGUGAUACCUGUGCCACUUGCUCAUGAAGGGCCACCAGCUGCUGGAGCCGUACCUGAUGUUCCCCACCCCACAACUCCCAGCA
Molecule: long non-coding RNA, 959 nt
Filed under: Homo sapiens (human)
Lineage: Eukaryota; Metazoa; Chordata; Mammalia; Primates; Hominidae
Description: non-protein coding lnc-ARG2-1:5
Source: RNAcentral